Molecule: ribosomal RNA, 250 nt
Filed under: uncultured bacterium
Lineage: Bacteria
Description: partial 16S ribosomal RNA
Rfam family: Bacterial small subunit ribosomal RNA
Source: RNAcentral
UACAGAGGGUGCGAGCGUUGUCCGGAAUCACUGGGCGUAAAGGGCGCGUAGGUGGCGACCCAAGUCAAUGGUGAAAGCUCGAUGCUCAACAUCGAGUCGGCCACUGAUACUGGGUUGCUUGAGCACUGUAGAGGCUAAUGGAAUUCCGGGUGUAGCGGUGGAAUGCGUAGAGAUCCGGAAGAACACCGGUGGCGAAGGCGGUUAGCUGGGCAGUUGCUGACACUGAGGCGCGACAGCGUGGGGAGCAAAC